RNAcentral lists this transfer RNA (77 nucleotides) under Candidatus Jordarchaeia archaeon. RNAcentral's name for it is "tRNA-Lys". It matches the Rfam family "tRNA". From Rfam's summary of the family: Transfer RNA (tRNA) molecules are approximately 80 nucleotides in length. Their secondary structure includes four short double-helical elements and three loops (D, anti-codon, and T loops). Lineage: Archaea; Promethearchaeati; Candidatus Jordarchaeia. The record is from RNAcentral.
GGGCCGCUAGCUUAGCUAGGUAGAGCGCCGGGCUCUUAACCCGGUGGUCGUGGGUUCGAAUCCCACGCGGCCCGCCA